GUGGAUUAGAUACCCUGGUAGUCCACCCCGUAAACGUUGGGAACUAGUUGUGGGGUCCAUUCCACGGAUUCCGUGACGCAGCUAACGCAUUAAGUUCCCCGCCUGGGGAGUACGGCCGCAAGGCUAAAACUCAAAGGAAUUGACGGGGACCCGCACAAGCGGCGGAGCAUGCGGAUUAAUUCGAUGCAACGCGAAGAACCUUACCAAGGCUUGACAUACACCAGAACACCGUAGAAAUACGGGACUCUUUGGACACUGGUGAACAGGUGGUGCACGGUCGUCGUCAGCU
Molecule: ribosomal RNA, 289 nt
Filed under: uncultured bacterium
Lineage: Bacteria
Description: partial 16S ribosomal RNA
Rfam family: Bacterial small subunit ribosomal RNA
Source: RNAcentral